This 253-nucleotide ribosomal RNA is filed under the name uncultured bacterium. RNAcentral describes it as "partial 16S ribosomal RNA". It matches the Rfam family "Bacterial small subunit ribosomal RNA", at positions 524 to 776 of the family's 1533-position model. The record is from RNAcentral.
UACGUAGGCAGCAAGCGUUGUUCGGAAUUACUGGGCGUAAAGAGUGUGUAGGCGGUGUUCUAAGUCUGGUGUGAAAUCUCCCGGCUCAACUGGGAGGGUGCGCUAGAAACUGGAAUGCUAGAGGAUGGGAGAGGUAAGCGGAAUUCCUGGUGUAGCGGUGAAAUGCGUAGAUAUCAUUUGGAACGCCAAUGGUGAAAACAGGUAGCUGGGGCUGUGCUGACACUGAGACACGAAAGCCAGGGGAGCAAACGGG